RNAcentral lists this ribosomal RNA (1001 nucleotides) under uncultured bacterium. RNAcentral's name for it is "bacterial SSU rRNA". It matches the Rfam family "Bacterial small subunit ribosomal RNA", at positions 356 to 1376 of the family's 1533-position model. The record is from RNAcentral.
GGGGAAUAUUGCACAAUGGGCGAAAGCCUGAUGCAGCGACGCCGCGUGAGCGAAGAAGUAUUUCGGUAUGUAAAGCUCUAUCAGCAGGGAAGAUAAUGACGGUACCUGACUAAGAAGCACCGGCUAAAUACGUGCCAGCAGCCGCGGUAAUACGUAGGGGGCAAGCGUUAUCCGGAUUUACUGGGUGUAAAGGGAGCGUAGACGGCGCAGCAAGUCUGAUGUGAAAGGCAGGGGCUUAACCCCUGGACUGCAUUGGAAACUGCUGUGCUUGAGUGCCGGAGGGGUAAGCGGAAUUCCUAGUGUAGCGGUGAAAUGCGUAGAUAUUAGGAGGAACACCAGUGGCGAAGGCGGCUUACUGGACGGUAACUGACGUUGAGGCUUGAAAGCGUGGGGAGCAAACAGGAUUAGAUACCCUGGUAGUCCACACCGUAAACGAUGAUUACUAGGUGUUGGAGGAUUGACCCCUUCAGUGCCGCAGUUAACACAAUAAGUAAUCCACCUGGGGAGUACGACCGCAAGGUUGAAACUCAAAGGAAUUGACGGGGGCCCGCACAAGCAGUGGAGUAUGUGGUUUAAUUCGACGCAACGCGAAGAACCUUACCAAGUCUUGACAUCCCUUGACAGGCAUAGAAAUAUGUUUUCUCUUCGGAGCAAGGAGACAGGUGGUGCAUGGUUGUCGUCAGCUCGUGUCGUGAGAUGUUGGGUUAAGUCCCGCAACGAGCGCAACCCUUAUCUUCAGUAGCCAGCGAGUAAGGUCGGGCACUCUGGAGAGACUGCCAGGGACAACCUGGAGGAAGGUGGGGAUGACGUCAAAUCAUCAUGCCCCUUAUGACUUGGGCUACACACGUGCUACAAUGGCGUAAACAAAGGGAAGCGAACCUGUGAGGGUGGGCAAAUCCCAAAAAUAACGUCUCAGUUCGGAUUGUAGUCUGCAACUCGACUACAUGAAGCUGGAAUCGCUAGUAAUCGCGAAUCAGCAUGUCGCGGUGAAUACGUUCCCG